GAUAAACGCUGGCGGCGUGCCUAACACAUGCAAGUCGAACGAUCCCGCAAGGGAGAGUGGCGGAAGGGUGAGUAACACGUGGGAAUCUACCUCCUCGCAGGGAACAACCUCUCGAAAGAGAGGCUAAUACCCAAAAGGGUCAGAAAUGAUCAGAGUCGAAAGGCGUGAGGAGAGGAGCCCGCGGCCCAUCAGCUAGUUGGUGAGGUAAUGGCUUACCAAGGCUACGACGGGUAGGGGAUCUGAGAGGAUGUCCCCCACACUGGAACUGAAACACGGUCCAGACGCCUACGGGUGGCAGCAGUGAGGAAUAUUGGACAAUGGGCGAAAGCCCGAUCCAGCAACGCCGCGUGGAGGAUGAAGGCCUUCGGGUCGUAAACUUCUUUAGAGGGAGACGAGAAAGG
RNAcentral lists this ribosomal RNA (401 nucleotides) under uncultured bacterium. RNAcentral describes it as "bacterial SSU rRNA". It matches the Rfam family "Bacterial small subunit ribosomal RNA", at positions 28 to 454 of the family's 1533-position model. The record is from RNAcentral.